GGGAGAGCAUGUGUGAGCCAGCACGCCCUGCCCACUUUGCCCUAUGUAGGCGCAAGGCCCUGUUUGGACACCUGUCCCCCACACCUCCAGAUGGUGACCCUGGAGGAAGAAUUGCACUGGGCCCACUGGCCCCGGGAAAAUGUCCCUCAGCCAGGUGCUCAGCCCCUGAUAAGCUGAAGCUCAGGCCCUUCCUGGUGCCCUGGUCUCCUGCACUGAGCUGUGUGAGCUCUUCAGCCCAGGUGGGCUCCCUGACAUUGAUGCGCAUAGGGUUUGGUGACGGGGAAGGCCAAGCAUGCCCCACAUCCAUGCUAGGUCAGUGUUCCUCAUGGACCCCAUCACAUGGAUAUCCCUUACCCCUUCCCCACAUGGAAGCAUGAGGCUCUGUUUGGACACAUGGCCUCUUCCUGUCCCCCACGAUGGUGAGCCUGGAGGAAGACUCGCAUUGGGCCCAGUGGACCCAGGCCAGUGGCCAUCAGCCAGGUGCCCACCCUGGUGUGCUGAAGCUCAGGACCUACCUGUUGUCCUGGUUUCCUACACUGAGCUGUGCGAGCUCUUCAACCCAGGCGGGGCACUCUGGCAUUCACCGGCAUAGAGUUCUGUGGCUAAGAGAGCACUGGGUACCCUGUGUCCGUGAUGGGCCAGUGUUCCUCAUGCAAACGAUAACAUGGGUCCAUGGAGGAUCGUGAAAUGGGAGGAAGAAUUGUGUUCGGCCUAAUGGCCCUGGGACAGUGUCCGUCAGCCUGGCAUCCAGCCCCUGGUGUGCUGAAGCUCAGGCCCUUCCUGGUGCCCUAGUCUCCUGCACUGAGCUUGUGAGCUCUUCGGCUCUGGCGGGUCCCCUGGGAUUGAUCAGCAUAGAUAGUGAACCUGGAGGAAGACUCUUCUUGGGUCCCCUGGCCCCAAGCCAAUGUCCAUCAGCCAGAUGCCAGACCCCAGUGCACUGAAGCUCAUGCCCUUCCUGGCGCCCUGGUCUCCUGCACUGAGCUGUGUGAGCUCUUUCGCCCAGCAGACUCCCUAGCAUUGACCGGCAUAGGUGAGUGUCUCCUGCUUGGGUCAUGGGCCAUGAGCCAGGCCAUAGGGUUGCCGAGGGUGAGCAUUUGAGCCAUGAGUGUUUCCUCAGGGGCCGACUUGAAUCCCCACCUGGGAUGUGUUCUCCAGGAGGGCAGCUUCCUUGUGAAUCUGAGCCAAGUAAGAUGCCUUCUCUGAAGCCCUGCAAGGGUGCCAGUUGUGCAGGCAAGAAAGGGUUCCCUUAGCCCCAGGCAGGGCAGUGCCCAGCAGAGACUCAGUGGU
Molecule: long non-coding RNA, 1287 nt
Organism: Pongo pygmaeus (Bornean orangutan)
Lineage: Eukaryota; Metazoa; Chordata; Mammalia; Primates; Hominidae
Exons: 9
Source: RefSeq, a predicted model, not a curated record